Molecule: ribosomal RNA, 589 nt
Filed under: uncultured bacterium
Lineage: Bacteria
Description: bacterial SSU rRNA
Rfam family: Bacterial small subunit ribosomal RNA
Source: RNAcentral
CCUACGGGAGGCAGCAGUGGGGAAUCUUGCGCAAUGGGCGAAAGCCUGACGCAGCCAUGCCGCGUGAAUGAUGAAGGUCUUAGGAUUGUAAAAUUCUUUCACCGGGGACGAUAAUGACGGUACCCGGAGAAGAAGCCCCGGCUAACUUCGUGCCAGCAGCCGCGGUAAUACGAAGGGGGCUAGCGUUGCUCGGAAUUACUGGGCGUAAAGGGAGCGUAGGCGGAUAGUUUAGUCAGAGGUGAAAGCCCAGGGCUCAACCUUGGAAUUGCCUUUGAUACUGGCUAUCUUGAGUUUGGGAGAGGUGAGUGGAACUCCGAGUGUAGAGGUGAAAUUCGUAGAUAUUCGGAAGAACACCAGUGGCGAAGGCGACUCACUGGCCCAAUACUGACGCUGAGGCUCGAAAGCGUGGGGAGCAAACAGGAUUAGAUACCCUGGUAGUCCACGCCGUAAACGAUGAGUGCUAGUUGUCGGCAUGCAUGCAUGUCGGUGACGCAGCUAACGCAUUAAGCACUCCGCCUGGGGAGUACGGUCGCAAGNUAAAACUCAAAGANAUAGCGNGNGAGAGCGACGACGACGACGAGGAGGAGAG